UGAAACUAGAUAUGACUUAGUGGCGGACGGGUGAGUAACACGUGAGCAACCUGCCUUUCAGAGGGGGACAACAGUUGGAAACGACUGCUAAUACCGCAUGAUGCAUAGGGGUCGCAUGAUCUUUAUGCCAAAGAUUUAUCGCUUCAAGAUGGCCUCGCGUCUUAUUAGCUAGUUGGCGGGGUAACGGCCCACCAAGGCGACGAUCAGUAGCCGGACUGAGAGGUUGAACGGCCACAUUGGGACUGAGAUACGGCCCAGACUCC
This 263-nucleotide ribosomal RNA is filed under the name uncultured Oscillospiraceae bacterium. RNAcentral describes it as "partial 16S ribosomal RNA". It matches the Rfam family "Bacterial small subunit ribosomal RNA", at positions 77 to 339 of the family's 1533-position model. Lineage: Bacteria; Bacillati; Bacillota; Clostridia; Eubacteriales; Oscillospiraceae. The record is from RNAcentral.